RNAcentral lists this transfer RNA (71 nucleotides) under Gaeana maculata. RNAcentral describes it as "tRNA-Pro". Lineage: Eukaryota; Metazoa; Arthropoda; Insecta; Hemiptera; Cicadidae. The record is from RNAcentral.
CAGAAAAUAAUUUAAUUUAUUUUAUAAAAUUUAAACUUUGGAAGUUUAAUUUGACUUAAUGUCUUUUCUGA